UUGCAAAACACCAAAUCUAUAUUUACACUUCCACAUAUAAUAACAUAACUUUAAGCUGAAAUAUAUCAUAAAUAAAACAAGUAAUGUCUACUGUUUGACAACUUAAGUAUCAACAAUUAAAAUAAAUCAAACUGGAAUGAAAUAAAUACAUAAACAAAAUCCAACGAAUUGUACCUCUAUUAUAUGUACUGUUGUCUCAAAGAAAAAAAAAAAACAUAUAAAACCAGUAGUAUACCAAUAGUUAAUACUGAUGGACACAAAAACAUAUUUUGAAGUACAAAGGGCUGUAGGAAAAUAAUUGGUAUUUUCAUACAUUCAGAAAUGUGGUUAAAAAGAGAAACCUGAAAGCCCAAAAAAUUCCAGCAUAACACAAAUUGACUUGUUUUCAAAUAGAUUUGGUGAUUCUUUUUUUUAAAUACAGGUUUAAAUUCCAGCCCUCUAUUAUCACAUACCCCCUUUUAAGAUUUAUGGUUCUAGUUCAAGCUCUCUGUAACACUCAUUGGAUUAGGCAAAGAUUGAGUCAAUCAUCUUGCAAAUGUGUUAAUCUUCAAAAAUAGGCUAUAAAAGUGCAAAACUAUGAAAACAAAAAUCUAGAUUAUGUACAUAUGGCUCAGCUUGUGAACAGGAAAAAAGGUCAAUAGUGUACACUUUCCUGAUACAAAGCACUUCAUUGCAAUGCCAGCAGACUGAUCUCAAAUUACUUCUCCCUUGUAACACAGGAGCUAAGACUUCUAUCAAGGAGGACAUCUUACGUUGCAUAAUUUAAAAAGAAAAAAAAAUCUUCUAGGACUUUACCCUUGCUCUAUGGAGAACAGCGAGGCCAGAAAAAUGAACAGUGCAAAUUUAUUUUUGAAAAAGUUUCUUAAUAAAAUAUUUUGUGGUCACUACGCCCAUGUACUAAUAAACUCAGCCAUGGACAGCACAUUAAAGAACAAAAGUUUAAAAUAUCUAGGAAGCCAGCUGGUGGCCAUCUUCUCUAAAACCCAAAUUGCAUGUGCACUGAGAAAAAUGCUACUGCUUCACAACAACCAAAAAUGGGAAGAUAACUGAGGUCUAGAAACAGAUUUCCUCUUUCUAGACUCCCAGGAGGCUCGGCCAGCAGUUCCUUAUUCAGAAUCAAUGUGUCUAUAAUCAACUCUAGUAUGUCCACAGUUCACCCAAAUGCCAGAUACAUUAAGACUACCAAAUACAAACCUAAAAUGUUUCCCCAAAAAUUUCCCUUAAAACUGUUCCCCAAUAUCUGCAAUUCACAGGUAUAAUUUACCAUUUUUGUUUUUAUAUACUAAUUUAGGCCCCCCCCAAUGAAUCUUCCAACAAAAGUGAUUAAUUUGAUAGAAACAAAUAUAAAUAACUGCACAUACAGUUUCUUAUGUUUACACAAUGUGUGGCUGUUCUACAGGAAACGCUUCUCUGUAGACACACACUCUUAAAAACCCUACGAGCCAUCCCAAGCCCCUCAGUCAAGGAUUCUGGAGGUUCCAGGACAAUCGGAGAGGCGAGGAAGGAGGCGUCUUCCCCAGCUGAGAUGCUGAAAGUUGCAAUAAAAUGCUGCCAACUUCCAAAUGGCUGACUCAAUAUCUGCAGCACGUAUCACAUAGAGGGUCAAUACUUCCAUUAACAAUUUUAAGACAACAAUAGAUUUCGGAGGAUUCAACAUAAUACAAAAUCAUUGGCAGUUUAAAAAAAAAAAAAACAUACAUUUUAAAUGAAAGAGCACAAUAGCAGAAACUGCUCCAAGUGAUGAGCUGUAUUAGAGAAAAGGAAUACACACAGUAUUUGAACAAGCAGGUUUACAACUUAAGAUAUUUACAGAUUUUUACCUGAGGUGCAAGCAUUAUAUACUUUUCCCCCAUCCCACCCCACCCCACCCAAAUGAUUUCUUUUCAGCAGCGCUCAAGUAUGCAAAAAUUCCACUUCUUAUUUGGUCGAUUCUAAAAAAAAUAUUAUUGAGGGACAAAAUAGAGAUUUCCAGUCCCCAU
Molecule: long non-coding RNA, 1979 nt
Organism: Macaca fascicularis (crab-eating macaque)
Lineage: Eukaryota; Metazoa; Chordata; Mammalia; Primates; Cercopithecidae
Source: Ensembl